Molecule: ribosomal RNA, 714 nt
Filed under: Lagocephalus lunaris (lunartail puffer)
Lineage: Eukaryota; Metazoa; Chordata; Actinopteri; Tetraodontiformes; Tetraodontidae
Description: partial 16S ribosomal RNA
Rfam family: Bacterial large subunit ribosomal RNA (bases 1-437)
Source: RNAcentral
UCUCCCCUCCCUACUAACUGAACGAGCUACUCCGAGUACAGCCGUUACGGGCCUAUCCGUCUCUUUUGGCAAAAGAGUGGAGAGAGCUCUGAGUAGAGGUGACAAACCUACCGAGUCCAGUUAUAGCUGGUUGUCCGAGAACUGAGUCUGAGCUCAGCUUUUUGGCUUCUUGCCUCACAAACAGUGUUAACAAAACCGACCAUAAGAAACCAAAAAAGUUAGUCAAAAGAGGUACAGCUCUUUUGAUACAAGAAACAACUUUUAAAGGAGGAUAAGGAUCAUACGCACCAAGGCCUUGUUGUUUAGGUGGGCCUAAGAGCAGCCACCCUAUAGAAAGCGUUAAAGCUCAAACACCCCAACGCCCCCAAUACCGACAUUUCAUCCUAACCCCUACCCCCUAUCGGACCUUUCCAUGCACCCAUGGAAGAGAUUAUGCUAAUAUGAGUAAUAAGGGGUCAUGACCCCCUCCAAGCACAAGUGUACCUCGGAACGAACUCCCGUCGAAAUUUAACGAACCCAAACCAAGAGGGCAUUGGACACUAAACCACAAAACUAGAGAAACAUCCACCCCAACCUCGUUAACCUUACACCAGUGUGCCCAAUAGGAAAGACUAAAAGAAAAAGAAGGAACUCGGCAACCCCAAGCCUCGCCUGUUUACCAAUAAACAUCGCCGCGUUGUAAACCAACAAAAUAAGAGGUCCCGCCUGCCCCGA